CCUACGGGUGGCAGCAGUGGGGAAUAUUGGGCAAUGGGCGCAAGCCUGACCCAGCAACGCCGCGUGAAGGAAGACGGCUUUCGGGUUGUAAACUUCUUUUUAGGGGGAAGUGGAGUGGACGGUACCCAUUGAAUAACCCACGGCUAACUACGGGCCAGCAGCCGCGUCAAUACGUAGGUGGCAAGCGUUGUCCGGAUUUACUGGGUGUAAAGGGCGUGCAGCCGGGCCGGCAAGUCAGAUGUGAAAUCAGCGGGCUUAACCCGAAAACUGCAGUUGACACUAUAGGUCUUGAGUGCCGUAGAGGUAAGCGGAAUUCGUGGUGUAGCGGUGAAAUGCGUAGAUAUAAGGAAGAACACCAGUGGCGAAGGCGGAUUACUGGACGGUAACUGACGGUGAGGCGCGAAAGCGUGGGUAGCAAACAGGAUUAGAUACCCUUGUAGUC
This 442-nucleotide ribosomal RNA is filed under the name uncultured bacterium. Its description in RNAcentral is "partial 16S ribosomal RNA". It matches the Rfam family "Bacterial small subunit ribosomal RNA", at positions 338 to 795 of the family's 1533-position model. The record is from RNAcentral.